AAUAGAUACCCGGGUAGUCCACGCCCUAAACGAUGUCUACUAGUUGUCGGGGAUUAAUUUCCUUGGUAACGCAGCUAACGCGGGAAGUAGACCGCCUGGGGAGUACGGUCGCAAGAUUAAAACUCAAAGGAAUUGACGGGGACCCGCACAAGCGGUGGAUGAUGUGGAUUAAUUCGAUGCAACGCGAAAAACCUUACCUACGCUUGACAUGUCCGGAAUCCUGCAGAGAUGUGGGAGUGCCCGAAAGGGAGCCGGAACACAGGUGCUGCAUGGCUGUCGUCAGCUCGUGUCGUGAGAUGUUGGGUUAAGUCCCGCAACGAGCGCAACCCUUAUCAUUAGUUGCUACACAAGGGCACUCUAAUGAGACUGCCGGUGACAAACCGGAGGAAGGUGGGGAUGACGUCAAGUCCUCAUGGCCCUUAUGCGUAGGGCUUCACACGUCAUACAAUGGUCGGUACAGAGGGCUGCCAACCCGCGAGGGGAGCCAAUCCCACAAAACCGAUCGUAGUCCGGAUUGCAGUCUGCAA
This 527-nucleotide ribosomal RNA is filed under the name uncultured bacterium. RNAcentral's name for it is "bacterial SSU rRNA". It matches the Rfam family "Bacterial small subunit ribosomal RNA", at positions 777 to 1310 of the family's 1533-position model. The record is from RNAcentral.